This 1058-nucleotide ribosomal RNA is filed under the name fungal sp. RNAcentral describes it as "eukaryotic LSU rRNA". The stretch from base 484 to 1058 matches the Rfam family "Eukaryotic large subunit ribosomal RNA", at positions 1 to 587 of the family's 3401-position model. The record is from RNAcentral. Lineage: Eukaryota; Fungi.
UACCGAGUUAUACAACUCAUCAACCCUGUGAACAUACCUAUAACGUUGCCUCGGCGGGAACAGACGGCCCCGUAACACGGGCCGCCCCCGCCAGAGGACCCCCUAACUCUGUUUCUAUAAUGUUUCUUCUGAGUAAACAAGCAAAUAAAUUAAAACUUUCAACAACGGAUCUCUUGGCUCUGGCAUCGAUGAAGAACGCAGCGAAAUGCGAUAAGUAAUGUGAAUUGCAGAAUUCAGUGAAUCAUCGAAUCUUUGAACGCACAUUGCGCCCGCCAGUAUUCUGGCGGGCAUGCCUGUUCGAGCGUCAUUACAACCCUCAGGCCCCCGGGCCUGGCGUUGGGGAUCGGCGGAAGCCCCCUGCGGGCACAACGCCGUCCCCCAAAUACAGUGGCGGUCCCGCCGCAGCUUCCAUUGCGUAGUAGCUAACACCUCGCAACUGGAGAGCGGCGCGGCCACGCCGUAAAACACCCAACUUCUGAAUGUUGACCUCGAAUCAGGUAGGAAUACCCGCUGAACUUAAGCAUAUCAAUAAGCGGAGGAAAAGAAACCAACAGGGAUUGCCCCAGUAACGGCGAGUGAAGCGGCAACAGCUCAAAUUUGAAAUCUGGCUCUCGGGCCCGAGUUGUAAUUUGUAGAGGAUGCUUUUGGUGAGGUGCCUUCCGAGUUCCCUGGAACGGGACGCCAUAGAGGGUGAGAGCCCCGUCUGGUUGGACACCGAUCCUCUGUAAAGCUCCUUCGACGAGUCGAGUAGUUUGGGAAUGCUGCUCUAAAUGGGAGGUAUAUGUCUUCUAAAGCUAAAUACCGGCCAGAGACCGAUAGCGCACAAGUAGAGUGAUCGAAAGAUGAAAAGAACUUUGAAAAGAGAGUUAAAAAGUACGUGAAAUUGUUGAAAGGGAAGCGCUUGUGACCAGACUUGGGCUUGGUUGAUCAUCCGGGGUUCUCCCCGGUGCACUCUUCCGGCUCAGGCCAGCAUCAGUUCGCCCUGGGGGAUAAAGGCUUCGGGAAUGUGGCUCUCUCCGGGGAGUGUUAUAGCCCGCUGCGUAAUACCCUGUGGCGGA